Molecule: ribosomal RNA, 497 nt
Filed under: uncultured bacterium
Lineage: Bacteria
Description: partial 16S ribosomal RNA
Rfam family: Bacterial small subunit ribosomal RNA
Source: RNAcentral
GAUGAACGCUGGCGGCGUGCCUAAUACAUGCAAGUCGAGCGAACGGACGAGAAGCUUGCUUCUCUGAUGUUAGCGGCGGACGGGUGAGUAACACGUGGAUAACCUACCUAUAAGACUGGGAUAACUUCGGGAAACCGGAGCUAAUACCGGAUAAUAUUUUGAACCGCAUGGUUCAAAAGUGAAAGACGGUCUUGCUGUCACUUAUAGAUGGAUCCGCGCUGCAUUAGCUAGUUGGUAAGGUAUCGGCUUACCAAGGCAACGAUGCAUAGCCGACCUGAGAGGGUGAUCGGCCACACUGGAACUGAGACACGGUCCAGACUCCUACGGGAGGCAGCAGUAGGGAAUCUUCCGCAAUGGGCGAAAGCCUGACGGAGCAACGCCGCGUGAGUGAUGAAGGUCUUCGGAUCGUAAAACUCUGUUAUUAGGGAAGAACAGAUGUGUAAGUAACUGUGCACAUCCUGACGGUACCUAAUCAGAAAGCCACGGCUAACUACGUG